UCCAAGGCCUUUUUAAAGGCCACCAAUGACGAGCAGCCUAUGACAU
Non-coding RNA from Echinostoma caproni, 46 nucleotides. The record is from Rfam. Lineage: Eukaryota; Metazoa; Platyhelminthes; Trematoda; Plagiorchiida; Echinostomatidae.